AUUGAACGCUGGCGGCAGGCUUAACACAUGCAAGUCGAACGGUAACAGGGAUUAGCUUGCUAAUUUGCUGACGAGUGGCGGACGGGUGAGUAAUGCUUGGGAAUCUGGCUYAUGGAGGGGGAUAACUACGGGAAACUGUAGCUAAUACCGCGUAAUAUCUUCGGAUUAAAGUGUGGGACCGCAAGGCCACAUGCCAUGAGAUGAGCCCAAGUGGGAUUAGGUAGUUGGUGGGGUAAAGGCCUACCAAGCCGACGAUCUCUAGCUGGUCUGAGAGGAUGACCAGCCACACUGGAACUGAGACACGGUCCAGACUCCUACGGGAGGCAGCAGUGGGGAAUAUUGCACAAUGGGGGGAACCCUGAUGCAGCCAUGCCGCGUGAAUGAAGAAGGCCUUCGGGUUGUAAAGUUCUUUCGGUAGCGAGGAAGGUGGUAAUGUUAAUAGCAUUAUCAAUUGACGUUAACUACAGAAGAAGCACCGGCUAACUCCGU
Molecule: ribosomal RNA, 489 nt
Filed under: Actinobacillus sp. 21
Lineage: Bacteria; Pseudomonadati; Pseudomonadota; Gammaproteobacteria; Pasteurellales; Pasteurellaceae
Description: bacterial SSU rRNA
Rfam family: Bacterial small subunit ribosomal RNA
Source: RNAcentral